GUGACCCUACGGGGGGCAGCAGUGGAGAAUAUUGCACAAUGGGGGAAACCCUGAUGCAGCAACGCCGCGUGGGUGAAGGAGCGUUUCGGCGCGUAAAGCCCUGUCAGCGGGGAAGAAGAAAGACGGUACCCGACCAAGAAGCCCCGGCUAACUACGUGCCAGCAGCCGCGGUAAUACGUAGGGGGCGAGCGUUAUCCGGAUUUACUGGGUGUAAAGGGAGCGUAGACGGCAGGGCAAGUCUGGAGUGAAAGGCAGGGGCCCAACCCCUGGACUGCUCUGGAAACUGUCCGGCUGGAGUGCAGGAG
RNAcentral lists this ribosomal RNA (305 nucleotides) under uncultured bacterium. RNAcentral's name for it is "bacterial SSU rRNA". It matches the Rfam family "Bacterial small subunit ribosomal RNA", at positions 333 to 654 of the family's 1533-position model. The record is from RNAcentral.